Molecule: ribosomal RNA, 455 nt
Filed under: uncultured bacterium
Lineage: Bacteria
Description: bacterial SSU rRNA
Rfam family: Bacterial small subunit ribosomal RNA
Source: RNAcentral
AGUGAUCGCUGGCGGCGUGCUCAACACAUGCAAGUCGAGCGGGCAUUGGCAGAGUAUCGCCAGUGCUAGCGGCAGACGGGUGAGUAAUACUUGGGCAAUCUGCCCUUGAGUGGGAAACAACCUGCCGAAAGGUGGGCUAAUGUCCCAUAAGACCACAGGAGGGCAUCCUCCAGGGGUCAAAGCUCCGCAAGGGGCGCUUGAGGAGGAGCCNGAGGCCUAUCACGGUAGUUGGUGCGGUAACGGCGCACCAAGCCUAUGACGGGUAGCCGGCCUGAAAGGGUGACCGGCCACACUGGCACUGAGACACGGGCCAGACUCCUACGGGAGGCAGCAGUGGGGAAUUUUGGACAAUGGGGCAACCCUGAUCCAGCGACGCCGCGGUGGAGGACGAAGGUCUUCGGAUUGUAAACUCCUUUUGGAGGGGAUGAAUGCCUACGUGAAGAACGUAGGGUGAC